Molecule: long non-coding RNA, 2670 nt
Filed under: Lactuca sativa (garden lettuce)
Lineage: Eukaryota; Viridiplantae; Streptophyta; Magnoliopsida; Asterales; Asteraceae
Description: long non-coding RNA (LSAT_LNC010314)
Source: RNAcentral
GAAGCAUAAUUGAAACUAAACUUUCAACAAUACAACUAUUGCAUUUAUAAUUAUAUUUCCUUACCACAUCACUCAAUAAUACAUAAAAUACAUGCUUAUACAUAUACAAAAAUACAUUUUUUUUACAUACAUAAAUACAUGUGAAAUACUUUGCUUCUAAGUUUACCUCAAAGUACAACAAUAAAUGGAAUUGACAAUUAUGUUUCUUAUACACUUCAUCUUAACCAAAACUACACACAACUCUGUUAUACAAAAUCACACUCAAUGCCUUUCAAACACUCUUAUUCUUCUUCUUCUUUCUUUCUUCUUUGAUCGUGGCUGCCAAGAAACAACAAGAGGCAUCUGCCUCUUCUUUUGGUUCUUUUCCUUACUCAUUACCUGUUAAUCAAAACAAACCCUAAAUAUCCGACCCUUCAUCAGUUGCUAUCUAAACAAUCAAAGAAGAAGAAGAAAAUUUGUUGUACUUCCUUGUGCAAUACCUGUCGAUUGAAACAACAAAAAUCACCCCACAAAAUGUACUUUUCUUUUCGGUGAAAUCAAAGAGGUAGCAACCUCUUUGCUGCUGAUCGGAGCAAGCCAAAUACUCCCUGAAGUCAUCACAGUUGCUGCUAGUUUCUCCCUCCCCUUUUGCUUUUGCUGUCGGACCAAAGAAGGGACAACCAAGAGUCGUCGGAGCAGCAUCGCUGCCACAAACUGCCGACAACGGCUUUGCUGCCACCCCUCUCUAUCUGCUUCCUUCGAUCAGCCAAGCACCGGUGGUGUUCCUGCUGUUCAACCACUGAACAGUCACCUCGACACCUGCUCCACCGCCGCCAGUCGUUGCUGCCGUUGCCCUUUCGUUUUCCUUCUAUCGCCGAUGAAAAAGAACCAUGAGGAGGUUCGCCGGAGAUGGGCUACUCCUCCUCCUUGAUCGACAGAUGAACCACCGAGCCACCCUCCCUCGAUCGCUGUUUCGAUUUUUUCUUCCCUUCGCACGACGGAUGAACCACCGGAGGCGAACAUUGUGUCGUUUGUGUUUCCUCCUUGUAUCCGUUCUUUCCUUGCCCGAUCUAAUGGAAACGGGGGCACCAAAAUUAAACCCUGAUCCCUUUUAUUAGUUUGAUGGAUUUGGAAGAACUUACCCUCCAAAUGUAUCUUUUAAUCCCAAACGAACCCAUUUUUAUAGAUAGAUAAAAAAAUGUUUAAUGUUGGUUAAUUUAAGUUACUAAACAACCAUCCACUUGUUGAGUUAUUAGCAAAACAGUCCUCCUAGCCUUGUGAUUUAUUUGAAACAGCCCUACACUUGUCAAGUAAUACCAAAACUGCCCUUUUGUUAAUUAAGUGACAAAUAUAGUUUCGGUGGUUUGUGUUAAACUCAAAAAGUGUCAAGAGGCGGUUUCUCACGACAAACUUCACGAACCGAGACUAGAUCAAGAUCACGCAUCGAAUGUGAGUUUCUACGGCCCCUCUUUUACGGUUUUAAUAUUUGGGGGAGAAUACAUGAGUGUCUAUUUAAAGUUUGAUGAUUUUCAAGUCUUAUACAUAAAAAGACAUCAUACUUUAUUAUUGGUUAAGAGUUCAUGAAAAUAACAAUCUAAAAGGUAUAAAGCAUUAAUAAAUUAUAUAAGUUAUUGUAGAAUGCUAUAAAUGAUAAAAUUAUACCUUGUUGUGAUAUAUUAGUUAAUAUUAAUAAAAAUCACAGGAUUAUAAUUAGAUUGAUAUAAAGAUAUAAGUUAUUCGAUGAAUCCCAAAUUGUAAUAUUCGUCGUAUAUAUGUGCACGAAAAUAUUGAGAAAGCAUAAAAAUACAUUAUACUCAUAACAAAAUCUGUUAUUCAAAAUAAGUGUGUACAAAGGAAAUAUACAUUGUCUUAAACGGCUAUAAACAAAGAUUUGACAAAUAUAUUUAAUAAUUAAUUGAAGGUAUACCAAAAUUCAGUUAUUAUGAUUAUACUCCGAUCAUAACGUGGAAACGAUUGCUAAAUAAAUUAUAUAAUUUAUUUUUAUAAUUAUUAUAAAAAUAAAAAUAAUUUUAGUUGUGAUACGAACCUCGCCACAUAUGAUAAUAUAAUUAUUUCUCUGAUUCUUGGGGAUUAUUACCUAAUAAAUUAUAUAUCAUAUCAAUUAUGCAAUUUAUCGAAUAUUUGCAUAAAUGAGUAUUCGGCUACGCGAACGAACAUCCUCCUUAUCGGCUGAAGUAAAGAACUAUACAAAUUAUUACCGCCACAAUAGUCGAACGCUACGUUAAUUUCACUAUUUAACUAAUUUCACUAAGCUUCAAAAGUCUUAAUACUCUAAGAUUCGCGUUAGUGACCCUAGUGAACGACGAAUUUUAUGAGUUGAAGAAUCGUCAUCAUGGAUUUCGUGGAUUGUGUAUCCCAUGUGUGUUUGUAUCGAAAGGGGUGAAAGAGAGAGUGUUAUGAUGGUGUAUUUUUCCUUUGUAAGGAUCAAAUCCUAGAAUCGACACCUAGCUCUAUAACCGUUAAUCCUGGAGGAAUCAUAUACUGUAGGUCUAUGUACACGGCAUAGAUUUAUAAUAAAGAACUUUGGUGUAGAUCUAUUUCUUAUGGAAAGAUUUAUGCGAAUGGUUAUUUUCCGUCUGUGGUUGCUAGCUACAACUUCGUCUGACGAGGCAACAGGCGUCAAGUGUUUCUUUCUUCGUUACUAUACGACUGCUUUUAAACGUUAGUAAU